CCUACGGGAGGCAGCAGUGGGGAAUAUUGGACAAUGGGCGCAAGCCUGAUCCAGCCAUACCGCGUGGGUGAAGAAGGCCUUCGGGUUGUAAAGCCCUUUUGUUGGGAAAGAAAAGCAGUCGAUUAAUACUCGGUUGUUCUGACGGUACCCAAAGAAUAAGCACCGGCUAACUUCGUGCCAGCAGCCGCGGUAAUACGAAGGGUGCAAGCGUUACUCGGAAUUACUGGGCGUAAAGCGUGCGUAGGUGGUUGUUUAAGUCUGUUGUGAAAGCCCUGGGCUCAACCUGGGAAUUGCAGUGGAUACUGGGCGACUAGAGUGUGGUAGAGGGUAGUGGAAUUCCCGGUGUAGCAGUGAAAUGCGUAGAGAUCGGGAGGAACAUCCAUGGCGAAGGCAGCUACCUGGACCAACACUGACACUGAGGCACGAAAGCGUGGGGAGCAAACAGGAUUAGAUACCCUGGUAGUCCACGACCUAACGANGCGACUAGAUGUGGUGCAUUGUCGCGCAGUAUACGAGACUACGACGUAGUUCGCCGCCGUGGGAGGUACGGUCGUCGAGACGUUAGAACGUACGAAAGGAAGUUAGACGGCGUUGAGACGNGCCGACGGACGACGACGAGGGAGGAGG
This 627-nucleotide ribosomal RNA is filed under the name uncultured bacterium. Its description in RNAcentral is "bacterial SSU rRNA". The stretch from base 1 to 537 matches the Rfam family "Bacterial small subunit ribosomal RNA", at positions 338 to 873 of the family's 1533-position model. The record is from RNAcentral.